RNAcentral lists this ribosomal RNA (483 nucleotides) under Stenotrophomonas sp. 211(2010). RNAcentral describes it as "bacterial SSU rRNA". It matches the Rfam family "Bacterial small subunit ribosomal RNA", at positions 33 to 505 of the family's 1533-position model. Lineage: Bacteria; Pseudomonadati; Pseudomonadota; Gammaproteobacteria; Lysobacterales; Lysobacteraceae. The record is from RNAcentral.
ACGCUGGCGGUAGGCCUAACACAUGCAAGGCGAGCGGCAGCACAGGAGAGCUUGCUCUCUGGGUGGCGAGUGGCGGACGGGUGAGGAAUACAUCGGAAUCUACUUUUUCGUGGGGGAUAACGUAGGGAAACUUACGCUAAUACCGCAUACGACCUACGGGUGAAAGCAGGGGAUCUUCGGACCUUGCGCGAUUGAAUGAGCCGAUGUCCGAUUAGCUAGUUGGCGGGGUAAAGGCCCACCAAGGCCACGAUCCGUAGCUGGUCUGAGAGGAUGAUCAGCCACACUGGAACUGAGACACGGUCCAGACUCCUACGGGAGGCAGCAGUGGGGAAUAUUGGACAAUGGGCGCAGGCCUGAUCCAGCCAUACCGCGUGGGUGAAGAAGGCCUUCGGGUUGUAAAGCCCUUUUGUUGGGAAAGAAAUCCAGCUGGYUAAUACCCGGUUGGGAUGACGGUACCCAAAGAAUAAGCACCGGCUAACUUCG